This 267-nucleotide ribosomal RNA is filed under the name Escherichia coli. RNAcentral's name for it is "partial 23S ribosomal RNA". It matches the Rfam family "Bacterial large subunit ribosomal RNA", at positions 1 to 264 of the family's 2925-position model. The record is from RNAcentral. Lineage: Bacteria; Pseudomonadati; Pseudomonadota; Gammaproteobacteria; Enterobacterales; Enterobacteriaceae.
GUUAUAGGGUCAAGCGAACAAGUGCAUGUGGUGGAUGCCUUGGCGAUCACAGGCGAUGAAGGACGCGGUAGCCUGCGAAAAGCUACGGGGAGCUGGCAAACAAGCUUUGAUCCGUAGAUGUCCGAAUGGGGAAACCCACUCCUUUUGGAGUAUCCAUGGCUGAAUACAUAGGCCAUGCGAAGCGAACGCGGUGAACUGAAACAUCUAAGUAACCGCAGGAAAAGAAAUCAACCGAGAUUCCCAAAGUAGUGGCGAGCGAAAUGGGAU